This 3657-nucleotide long non-coding RNA is filed under the name Orussus abietinus. Its description in RNAcentral is "uncharacterized LOC105699901". Lineage: Eukaryota; Metazoa; Arthropoda; Insecta; Hymenoptera; Orussidae. The record is from RNAcentral.
UUUCGGUUUCUUCAACUCUGACACGAAUGCACGGAAAGUGCAUUUAAUGCAAUCGUGAAACUGAAGUCAACCAUCCGUGAAACGAGAUGAAAAUAUUCCAUAACGGGCCGUACCUUCUCUCGGCUCGUUCCUUGCGGCAUCGAAUAUAUAUUUCUUUGAGGAAAAUGCUUCAAUCUUUCAUGUUCCAUAUCUCUUACAAAUUCCAAGUACAUACCGCACAUUUUUAAGUGCACAAUAGAACCGCGAUGGAUUAAAAAUUUUUUUCUUUCGUCAUUAGAGCCGAGGUAUAUCUUUUAAGAGAUCAAGGCUCUUUGCUGGAAUCUAUGUCCAUUUUGCAGGUGAUCAGAAACUUAAUGCGAGCAUAAAUUUAUAGAUCCCUUGUUUGGAUGCAUGCUCAUUACGCGUCGUUAUAUGUCAAUUGUACCUAGGCAUACUGUAUACUUAAGCAGGAAAGAAAUAUUUCCGUUUCGUUUAUCGGGUCCCAAGUGCGUUUCGCACUUCUUGCGUCGAUUAGUUGCGCAAUUAAAGUACCGCUCGGUGCGCACGGUAAAUGCGAGUAAUGUUUCUUAAUUAGUACCCGUGGCAUACCGUUUCGAGGGAAGACAACUGACAAUCUCGCAUCUCCUCUCGCAUUUUUACCGCAAAUUUCACGCAAGUUGGUCCGAGCAAACGGAAGAAAAACCGAACAACCUGGCCAAAAGUCCAUUUUGUAAUUUCCACGAGCACGGGGUAAAAUUCGUUUUCUCUCAUUACCAUGCCGGACGACUGGCAGGAAACAUAUCUCAACGGGCCGCACUAACUCAUUGUUCUUGGCAAACCUCGGUUUUUCCACCUCCUUUAUUCCGAUCAUUGUCUCCCUGGUAUCCCAUUAAACGGAUUUAUUACCAAGAUCCAGAUACUUAACUGGCUCGAACUUGAAAAAUCCAUUUUUUUUUAAUUACUCGCAAUCCGUAUGCCUCGAGCCUUCCCGGAUCAUACGUUGUACAAGGCGCAGAGUAAUUGGGGCGUUGUAGAUACGAGGGCAAACAAGCGAUAUUACCAUUGUCCAGAAAUGGCAUAAUUCCAGGCAAUACCGGUAACGCGGCAUGGUGUGAGAAUGUCCCAUACGAAAUGAAAUAUCACGUUGCCGCAAUUUGCACCUGAUGGCCUUAAGGCGCCUAAAAGAGCGACCGGAUCUGAAAUUAGUCGGCGUUUGCUCGCCCUCGCACGCAGAUUUCCUAUCUGGCGUCUAAUAACAAAGCCGGCGGUUCGCUUUUACGUAUAAAAAAUGAUCGGCUCCGCAAGAGCUAAACUAACCACCCUUCGUGAGCUUUCUUGCAGGAAUGCGCUUAUUACUCCAACCCAUAUAUCCACUUGGCCGUAUCCGCGUUAUGCAACUAUGCUCCGAACGGGCGCACUUGCAUGCUCCUAUCAAAGAUGCAAGAUGCAAGAUGCAAGAUGCAAGAUGCAGGAUGCAAGACGCAGCGGAUCGGAUAAAGGAGCAAAAGCAGUGGAGGUCAGGAGUCAUGGAAAGGCAUCGCUCAAGAGUCCGGUGCACCAGGAAAGGAACACCCUCUUCCAGGUUUGCUCAAGAGUCAUCUACCUCUCUUUAAAAAAAAUCGUAUUUCCAUCCUCGAAUGCUCAUUACGUAUUUUCGCACGGCACUUUGAUCCGAAUUCCGGCACGAUUAAACAAACCGAACGCCCCGUGGACAAUCAGGUAUUACUUUUCGUUUUACGGUUCAUGGCGGCUUGUUCAUGGGAACCGAGCGUAAAAUGGUGAAAGCAGAAAUGGUCCGGUACCCUAGUGCUAUCGUUUUGGAAAGACGAUAUCUCGAAGUCCCACCAUCGGAUUUACAUCGGAUCACCUCGAUCUAGCCGAUCAAUUUUAAUCCUGGAUGAGGUGGACUGGGGAUGAAGAGUACCAGAAUAUCAUAACUCAAUAAUUGAACCGAUUUGCAGGAGUGAUCGUCGGCGAGUACCUCUAAUCCGAUUCCAUCAACUCGAGAGCAGGAUUGCCCAACGGAACCGAGAUGACUUCAUAUCGAUCUGCAAACGAGGUAGCGCAAUUUCCUGUCGUCAGAUUUAAGUCUGCGUCAGGUAUCUCCUGGGCGGAAUCGAUCCUCCAGGAAUGGUAACCUUCGAGUCUUCUCGCCGACGUCCAACCAAAAUCCACCGUUUCACCGUUUGCGAAACCGGACCGUUGAGACGUUCCUGCCCAAAUGUCAAUUCUGCCUCUGGGCGACUGUGCCACGUUGUUAUAAUGACCUAUCUCGAAAAUUGGGCAACCUUUCGAGCGUCCCGGAAAGACCGAAGAACUCGACCUUGUGAGCGGUUCCGAUCCGGUUCGGGAUCUAAAGACUGGUCCCGUAUUCGUAGACCUCGCUUUCAGGAUCUUAAGAAGGCCACGUAACGAUGAAUCGUCUCGAUUAAUCUGUACCGAUCUGACCGACGCGAUGCGGUCGUAGAACUCGAUUUAACGAUAGAUACGGCUUAUCGUUACGUGUCCGGCCGCGAUCGAACGGGAUUAACGAUCUUUGGCAAUUCCGGAUGAUCGAGCGAUCCUGGACUCAUCCUCGGCGGCGUUUGUAAAUCCUUCACGACAAUCGCGCAACUCGGAUUCGCAAUAACGAACGAACGUAACGAGACAUCGUGGCGUCAUGCCCCGUUCGCACGGUAUCCAGCAAACGUUUUGCUGGAUACCGUGCGAUCGCGUUACAAGAUCACCAGGAAUACGGAUGGUGGCUCUUUCGCUAUCGGCUUGUGCAACCUCGAGAUGCAACAUCCGCGGUGCAUCUCGACCGAUUCAGUCCCGGCACGAAACGUCAGUCCGCGUCGGGAACAAAAGAUGUCGAGGUACUCCCCUGUAAACGAUUUGCAACCAUCCAGGCCGGUCGUGAAUUUUAUUUCGCGUUGAAUAAUCUGAACUUUUGCGGUUGAAUUUUUACGUCGAGUGGCCUGAAUUUUCAUGUUAGAAUUAUUAAGCGAAUUUUUACGAUAAUGCUAGGAGUUAAUACUUCACCGCCGCCUCUUCGAGUACCUCGGCUAAUUCGACGCAAGGAGAACCAAGUAAACCGAUGCACCUUUAACCAGGAUCUGGAGCAAUCGCUUAUAUCGUUACGUUACGCUAGAUUAUUGUUACGCUCGGCAUGAUAAGGACCAAGCGACAACGAUCGACGAUGUUAUUACGUGCGGAGUUACGACGGUCGUUGUCAUCGGCGAUUAGCAUUUUUCAAUACUCUCCGUCGUGCGCGAAAGAAUACGCGAAUAAGUAUUAUGUCGUUCGACGCUUUUAUAGCUUUUCUCUUUCACAUGAGUCAGACACGUCCCACGUAAACCUUCCUUCGGUUAUGGGGCAAAUGCGACUUUCUUGAUGGUCCACUGCGGGCGGUAAUAACAUUUAAUCACCCUGAUAUAUAUAUCGCACAACCAGAGACGAGCUUUUACUUGGCUCGGGUCGAUACGAUAUCUCGAGUCUCGCCUCCUUUUUACAAGCAUUGUUGACCAUUGUCCAGGUCGUCAAUAAAGAAUAAAAUAUGUACCCACGCGUUACCCAUGCUUGAUCCUUCGCGUAACUCGAGUUUAGAAUGAAGUCUAUCGCGGUUAAACUACACUGUUAAGAAAAAAAUUAUAAUUUUGUAACUUUUUUGUUGGAAGUUUCAUUCCGACAUGAUAUAUU